This 1466-nucleotide long non-coding RNA is filed under the name Zonotrichia albicollis (white-throated sparrow). RNAcentral's name for it is "lncRNA (ENSZALG00000000225.1)". Lineage: Eukaryota; Metazoa; Chordata; Aves; Passeriformes; Passerellidae. The record is from RNAcentral.
GGUUGUCCAGCCCUGGCCCAGGUUGGAUAUAGGGAAAAUUCCUCCUGGAAGGAGUUGUCCAGCCCUGGCCCAGGGUGUCCAGGGUGGAGGGUGUACGUUCUCCUCACCAGGUUUCUCUGGAGUUCCCUCUGGCACUCCUGGUGCUCCAGACCCUUCCUCAGCUCCAUUUCCUUCUCUGGACACACUCCAGCCCCCCAAUGUCUUUUUCUCUAUCCACACCCAGGAUUUGAGGCGCUUCUGCCAUGAACACCUCAAAUUCCCAAAAUUUCCCCUUUGUGAGCUCAGAGUUCAAGUGGGACUGAGCAGUUUGGGGGUGAAUCCAGUGAAAGGCACUUUGGUGGGAUGCCAGAGGCAGAGUGUGUGGGGUCACAGCGUUGGGGCCAGGGUGGCAGCACCUCCAGGCCCCUCAGAGGCUCCUGCUGUUCCUUGCAGUGCCAUGGGAACGGUGGUGCUGGACGGGCAGAUCUACGUGUGUGGUGGCUACGAUGGAAACUCAUCCCUCAACUCGGUGGAGUCCUACUCUCCAGAAACAAACAAGUGGACCACAGUGACCCCCAUGAGCUCCAACCGCAGCGCUGCCGGCGUCACCGUGUUCGAGGGACGCAUCUACGUGUCCGGGGGGCACGACGGGCUCCAGAUCUUCAACAGUGUAAGGGCCUGGCCAGGGCUCAGCCCCUGCACUCAGCACCUCUGUGUCCUGUCCCUGGGCAGCCAAACAGCCCCGAGUGCUUGUGCCACCAAAUUGUGUCACUUCCAGCCACAACAGAAAAACCUGAGGGGGAGCUGAAGGGACUCGUUUAUCCACUCAGGGACGUGGAGAUGUUCUGAGGGCUGGAGCCCCUUGGAUAUGGAGACAGGCUGGGAGAGAAGAGAAGGCUCCAAAGAGCCUCUUCCAGAGCCUAAAGGGGCUCCAGGAGAGCUGGAAAGGGGCUGGGGACAAGGCAUGGAGGGACAGGACACAGGGAAUGGCUUUGAGCUGAAGGAGAGGAGCUUUAGGUGGGAUAUUGGGAAGUAGUUCCUGGCCAUGAGGGUGGGCAGGCCCUGGCACAGAGCGGAUCCCUGGCAGUGCCCCAGGCCAGGCUGGACAGGGCUGGGAGCAGCCUGGGACAGGGGGAGGUGUCCCUGCCAUGGCAGGGGUGGCACUGGGUGAUCCUUAAGGUCCCUUCCAACCCAAACCCUUCAGGCACCAUCCCAUAACAUCCAAACCUUUAACUGAAGGCUGUUCAGUCCCAUAACAGCUGAAUUUUAUCUGAGGCUGUUCAGCCCCAUAACAGCCAAACUUUUAACUGAAGGCUGUUCAGUCCCAUAACAGCCAAACCUUUAACUGAAGGCUGUUCAGUCCCAUAACAGCUGAAUUUUAACUGAGGCUGUUCAGCCCCAUAACAGCUGAAUUUUAACUGAGGCUGUUCAGUCCCAUAACAGGCAAACCUUUAACUGAAGGCUGUUCAGUCCCAUAACAGCCAAAC